UACGAAGGGGGCUAGCGUUGUUCGGAUUUACUGGGCGUAAAGCGCACGUAGGCGGAUCUUUAAGUCAGAGGUGAAAUCCCAAGGCUCAACCUUGGAACUGCCUUUGAUACUGGGUAUCUCGAGUCCGGAAGAGGUGAGUGGAAUUCCGAGUGUAGAGGUGAAAUUCGUAGAUAUUCGGAGGAACACCAGUGGCGAAGGCGGCUCACUGGUCCGGUACUGACGCUGAGGUGCGAAAGCGUGGGGAGCAAACAGG
Molecule: ribosomal RNA, 253 nt
Filed under: uncultured bacterium
Lineage: Bacteria
Description: partial 16S ribosomal RNA
Rfam family: Bacterial small subunit ribosomal RNA
Source: RNAcentral